RNAcentral lists this ribosomal RNA (428 nucleotides) under uncultured bacterium. Its description in RNAcentral is "bacterial SSU rRNA". It matches the Rfam family "Bacterial small subunit ribosomal RNA", at positions 372 to 793 of the family's 1533-position model. The record is from RNAcentral.
UGGGCGCAAGCCUGAUGCAGCCAUGCCGCGUGUAUGAAGAAGGCCUUCGGGUUGUAAAGUACUUUCAGCAGUGAGGAAGGUGGGUAUGUUAAUAGCAUAUUCAUUUGACGUUAGCUGCAGAAGAAGCACCGGCUAACUCCGUGCCAGCAGCCGCGGUAAUACGGAGGGUGCGAGCGUUAAUCGGAAUUACUGGGCGUAAAGCGCAUGCAGGUGGUUUGUUAAGUCAGAUGUGAAAGCCCGGGGCUCAACCUCGGAAUUGCAUUUGAAACUGGCAAACUAGAGUACUGUAGAGGGGGUAGAAUUUCAGGUGUAGCGGUGAAAUGCGUAGAGAUCUGAAGGAAUACCGGUGGCGAAGGCGGCCCCCUGGACAGAUACUGACACUCAGAUGCGAAAGCGUGGGGAGCAAACAGGAUUAGAUACCCUGGUAG